GGCGUCGUAGCCAAGUGGCAAGGCAGGAGUCUGCAAAACUCUGAUCGGCGGUUCGAAUCCGCCCGACGCCUCCC
This 74-nucleotide transfer RNA is filed under the name Chloroflexota bacterium. RNAcentral's name for it is "Chloroflexi bacterium (wastewater metagenome) tRNA-Cys". It matches the Rfam family "tRNA". From Rfam's summary of the family: Transfer RNA (tRNA) molecules are approximately 80 nucleotides in length. Their secondary structure includes four short double-helical elements and three loops (D, anti-codon, and T loops). Further hydrogen bonds mediate the characteristic L-shaped molecular structure. tRNAs have two regions of fundamental functional importance: the anti-codon, which is responsible for specific mRNA codon recognition, and the 3' end, to which the tRNAs corresponding amino acid is attached (by aminoacyl-tRNA synthetases). tRNAs cope with the degeneracy of the genetic code in two manners: having more than one tRNA (with a specific anti-codon) for a particular amino acid; and 'wobble' base-pairing, i.e. permitting non-standard base-pairing at the 3rd anti-codon position. The record is from RNAcentral. Lineage: Bacteria; Bacillati; Chloroflexota.